This is a long non-coding RNA of Cebus imitator (Panamanian white-faced capuchin), 661 nucleotides long. RefSeq lists it as uncharacterized. NCBI's taxonomy places the organism in Eukaryota, Metazoa, Chordata, Mammalia, Primates, Cebidae. The record is from RefSeq and is a predicted model, not a curated record. The transcript has 3 exons.
AGAUUACCUCUCAGAGGAGAAGAGGUUUAAAGAAUCCCCUCUGUUUGACGGGGAUUUAAGAGAGCCGUUAACUACUGCAGACAGAGAAACACUUCAAGGAGCAGCUAAACCAGAUGCUCACUUUAGGACGAUGCCCUGCAGGCAGCUCCUGCACUUCCUGCAGAAGAACACCAUCAUUGCCGCAGUCUCAGGGGUGGCUGUCCUCACAGCUGCCGUGCUGUUGCUGCUCGGGUUGGCCUCAUACAUCAGGAGGAAACAGCCAUCAUCUCCUCUGGCAAAGACGACAUACAAUAUUUUUAUAAUGAAUGGAAAGGCAUGGUGGCAAAAUUCUGAAGAAAAGAAUUUCACAAAAUAUGCAAAAAAACAGACACAGUUGAAGUGCAGUUCCUGUGUCUAAGCCAGGUCGCGGGGCCGUCAAGCCAGCACUUGAAACCACGAUGCGAGGACGUUCUCCAUGUGCACACCACAGGGAAGCAAGUCCACUUCUGCCUGGGAGAUGCAUUCUACUAAAGCGUCUGCUUCCCGUCCCGAUCUCGAAUGGACCGAGAAAAACUGCUUUACUACAGGACACUUGUGGCAAAAUGGCACCGAUGGCCGGCACCAGCGAACCCGACGGACGAUGGACUUAUCAUCUAAUAAAGCGUUGAUUCAUGUAUUCAGU